RNAcentral lists this unclassified non-coding RNA (203 nucleotides) under Hevea brasiliensis (rubber tree). Lineage: Eukaryota; Viridiplantae; Streptophyta; Magnoliopsida; Malpighiales; Euphorbiaceae. The record is from RNAcentral.
UUUCAAUAAGUUUCAACUUCAGAGCAAUUCUCCAUCACGUAAAAUAAAAUAUUUCCUGAGAUGACCAAGCAUAAAACUUUUAAUGGAAAGGAUCUAGAACAUCUGUCACAUCUGGACUAUCGAUCACAUCAACCAGCAGGUUUCACAAUUCAGAAACUUGGUCCAUUUUUCAAUUGAUUAUUGUACUUCACUUUUUACACCAA